Long non-coding RNA from Oryzias melastigma (Indian medaka), 816 nucleotides. RefSeq lists it as uncharacterized. The record is from RefSeq and is a predicted model, not a curated record. The transcript has 3 exons. NCBI's taxonomy places the organism in Eukaryota, Metazoa, Chordata, Actinopteri, Beloniformes, Adrianichthyidae.
GGUUUGUAUGAUGGAGCGUGUGAGCUGCUGUUACAUUGUGUACAUUUAGACUAGUUUAAAUGUGGAGACUAUCUCAACCAACAGGUGUGUUUGUAACUACUGAGUGUGUAGACAGGCCCCACCCAUUCCAGACUGCUAUUUACGUAUACCUGGUUGUUUUAUGUUACCCCCAUCUUCUACUAUUUCAAAACUCCCUCCUUUUCACCUUGUUUUUCUGCCCUUAAGCCCCCCCAACCUCCCUCUUCUUCUUUUCCGUUCGAUCCAACAAAAAGAAAAAAAAGAAAAAGGAUUCAAAUAUAAUCAGUAUUAGUAAAGUUUAGAAUAAAAUACAAAAGGGGAUUAUAUUAAAUAACCCAUAUUGUGACAGGGACAAAUCUUCAGAAUCUGCUGGAAUUAUGAUGAUCGUGUUCGCAAUUAAAAAGUUACAAUAAAUUAAAGAACACAAACACUGGAGCUCUGGUGUUACAGGGUUAAUUAAAUGAAUCUUCACUUAGCAGCUGAAAAAAGUUACUAUUAAUCAAAUCACUUGGAAGAAUCAAAGAAAGCAUGAACUGGUGACUUAAAAUGGAGUACAUUCAUGUCCAUUUAUUAGUAUUUGUUGUUCUUGGAUGACACCCCAGUGAUAGACUUUUCUGGUUUUUCAACCAUGAGGAACCCAAAGGAACUUUCAAAAUGGGCAGCAGUCUAAGAUCUGUUGGGGGACCCUGAGCUCACUGGAGACAAUCUUUCAGACAGGCUUUUCUCUGGAACUUCAGCCUGAAGGGACAUGCUUGUAACACCUCCCCGGGGAGGGGCCCAGGAGACCUCUGGAGAGCU